AGAGUUUGAUCUUGGCUCAGGAUGAACGCUGGCGGCGUGCUAAUACAUGCAAGUCGAGCGAACAGACGAGGAGCUUGCUCCUUUGACGUUAGCGGCGGACGGGUGAGUAACACGUAGGUAACCUACCUAUAAGACUGGGAUAACUUCGGGAAACCGGAGCUAAUACCGGAUAAUAUUUCGAACCGCAUGGUUCGAUAGUGAAAGAUGGCUUUGCUAUCACUUAUAGAUGGACCUGCGCCGUAUUAGCUAGUUGGUAAGGUAACGGCUUACCAAGGCAACGAUACGUAGCCGACCUGAGAGGGUGAUCGGCCACACUGGAACUGAGACACGGUCCAGACUCCUACGGGAGGCAGCAGUAGGGAAUCUUCCGCAAUGGGCGAAAGCCUGACGGAGCAACGCCGCGUGAGUGAUGAAGGUCUUCGGAUCGUAAAACUCUGUUAUUAGGGAAGAACAAACGUGUAAGUAACUGUGCACGUCUUGACGGUACCUAAUCAGAAAGCCACGGCUAACUACGUGCCAGCAGCCGCGGUAAUACGUAGGUGGCAAGCGUUAUCCGGAAUUAUUGGGCGUAAAGCGCGCGUAGGCGGUUUUUUAAGUCUGAUGUGAAAGCCCACGGCUCAACCGUGGAGGGUCAUUGGAAACUGGAAAACUUGAGUGCAGAAGAGGAAAGUGGAAUUCCAUGUGUAGCGGUGAAAUGCGCAGAGAUAUGGAGGAACACCAGUGGCGAAGGCGACUUUCUGGUCUGUAACUGACGCUGAUGUGCGAAAGCGUGGGGAUCAAACAGGAUUAGAUACCCUGGUAGUCCACGCCGUAAACGAUGAGUGCUAAGUGUUAGGGGGUUUCCGCCCCUUAGUGCUGCAGCUAACGCAUUAAGCACUCCGCCUGGGGAGUACGACCGCAAGGUUGAAACUCAAAGGAAUUGACGG
RNAcentral lists this ribosomal RNA (926 nucleotides) under uncultured bacterium. RNAcentral describes it as "bacterial SSU rRNA". It matches the Rfam family "Bacterial small subunit ribosomal RNA", at positions 8 to 916 of the family's 1533-position model. The record is from RNAcentral.